GAUGAACGCUAGCGGCAGGCUUAAUACAUGCAAGUCGAGGGGGCAGCAAUGUCACCGGCGAACGGGUGCGUAACGCGUAUGCAACCUACCUACAUCAGGGGGAUAGCCCUAGGAAACUGGGAUUAACACCGCAUAACAUAUGACAAGGCAUCUUGUUAUAUUGAAAUAUUUAUAGGAUGUAGAUGGGCAUGCGUAGGAUUAGCUAGUUGGUAAGGUAACGGCUUACCAAGGCUACGAUCCUUAGGGGCUCUGAGAGGAGUAUCCCCCACACUGGAACGGAGAUACGGGCCAGAAUCCUACGGGAGGCAGCAGUAGGGAAUAUUGGGCAAUGGAGGCAACUCUGACCCAGCCAUGCCGCGUGCAGGAAGACGGUCCUCUGGAUUGUAAACUGCUUUUGAAUGGGAAGAAUGUGUGGCUUGCGAGCUAUAAUGACGGUACCAUUAGAAUAAGCCACGGCUAACUACGUGCCAGCAGCCGCCGCGG
RNAcentral lists this ribosomal RNA (483 nucleotides) under uncultured bacterium. RNAcentral's name for it is "partial 16S ribosomal RNA". It matches the Rfam family "Bacterial small subunit ribosomal RNA", at positions 28 to 523 of the family's 1533-position model. The record is from RNAcentral.